AACACAAGAGAAGUAAUAAAGAAAGAAUAUAUAGCAAAAUCCGGCAGCACCUCCUUUGAAAACUAGCAUAACAAGGAGGGGAAACAUGAAGCUCAUACAAGAUAUAAAGACAUAUAAUUCACAUAGUAGAAACUGAAAUGCAAAAGUGGUAAAACUUAAUUAUGACCCAACUGAAGCAAAACAAAUGGGAUAAGAAACUCAGCCCACCCCAAAAUAAACGCUCAACCAAGAACAAAGCAAUUCACUAGACUUGUCCAACUCUGAUUAACAACAUUAUUAAAUGGUGGUUCCUUUAUUAAAGGUGUAGUGGCCGUGCUGCUACAUCCCUCUAUUCCCAAAGCAGAAAUUAGGUGCCUGCAUCAAACAAUGCAAGAUGUGAGAUAACACAUCUCAGCAAGUAAACAUAACAACAACAAAUAGGACAUUGUAAAUCAACUGUGCUUACACAACCACGUGUUCAGGACUUCUUUCUUUUCUUUUGAACAGUAAAUUGCAGCAAGUAAACAAGUAACUAAAAGCUCAACGCCAAGUAGAAUCACCAUGCACAAGUCCAAAUUAUCCACAUCCACAUAAUAGAUUCAACACCUCUCCCAUGAAUGCACAUGGCUACAAAUGCAAUAAUGACUUCUGCCUCCAUAUCUCUAAGGAUAUGAAGCUGCACCAUACCCCUUCUCGGGCAACAUAUGAUGCUCAAUGUACCGGUACGGUCGGACCAUAAGAUCGCGAUGAAACUUCAAUGCAAUGGAUGAUGAGUGCAUUAUGCAUGACAACAUCAUAAGUUCUUCCCAAAUAAAAAUGUGAUAGGCAUUUACUUCCAACCAUUCCACAUAAUAACCACUUGAGUAACAUAAUCAAACCUCAAACUCAACAUACGAAAUCCAUGAAACAUGAACAUUUUCAAAUGAUGGUACUCAAAAGAAAAUAUGAAUUUGAACAUGAUAGCACAACAUAAACAAGUAUAAGACUCCUCAUCUGACAAACGGAAUAACCAUCACAGUUUUACUUGCCUUCACCGAAGUUUGGGCAAAAUCUCUAAGAACGAUCCGGAAGUCCACCACCUGUUUUUGACACCCAACUUAGUGCACCAAAUUCACAUAAAAAAACUCAAAGACAACACCGCACCUACGCGCAAUCUCAACCCCGCCGCGGUAACAAUUCUCCCCUCACUAACCAAACUGCAGCGGCGCUGCUUAACAAUUCCAUAACUUAAAAAUUAGGACAGCAGUGGUGUCAAACAAAAACUUCAGAGACAACUACAUAAAAUUUCCCACAAGUUUUGUAUACGACUCAUGAUUAAAUUCUAACAUCUAAUUACCUCUAAACGGUCCACAAAAAUAAACCCUGCAAUCUGUUUUUUUCUGAUUUGGGCAGCGACAUACUCGGAUUCAAACAGCGAUAACUUUUAAAAUAUAAUUCCGAUUUGAGCGCAUAAGUACUUGUUGGAAAGAUAAGAAAAAGCCCUACAUGAUUCUCAUACUGAUUAACACUAAUUACUCCCGAAAAAUCCCCAGAAACUGCUAAUACUGCUGCUGUUCAUCACUCUGAAAAAUCUGUUUUUUUGGACAGCCACACACCCGGAUUCAAACGAUGAUAACUUUUAAUUUAUAACUCCAAAUUGAGCGCAUAAAUACUCGUUGGAAAGGUAAAACAAAGUUCUACAAGAUCCCCAAAUUGAUCCCCAUUAAUUCUUCACGAAAAAACCCUAAAAACUGCUAGAACUUCCGCUGUUCAUCCACCACGUAAAAUUCUGGACAGCCCCCCUCUAUCUAAUCGCAAACGCAACAUCUAAUCAAUUGAAUCGCAGCGCAAAUGAACAAGGGAUGAACACAAAAAUCACCUUGGGUUCUCCCCCUUUCCUUCCUCCCUUCUUCCCUCCACCAAAACGGUUGGAGAAUCGCACCACGAGACGACGAUCCGAGCGGCAAGGAUUGGCACCUUGGGAGGAGGGGAUUGAGGGGGGCGGCUAGGGUUUGGUGGCUGCAAAAAUUGAGAGAGGAGGUGAUAGGCAGGGGGGGCGGCGGCCAAGGGGAGGAGAAGUGGGGGGCGGCUGCACAUGGGGGGAGGGGGUUAGGAGGGAGGCGGCUAGGGUUUGGGAGGGUUAAUGGGCCGAAACACCUAUUGCGGCCCAACUAACCCACGCGACAGCUCCCGACCGCAACGCUAGCGUCAAACCAAAUAAAUUCUACUGCCCUAGUUGUGAAUGUUUUUCACAAAAUUCCAAAUCCCCAAAACAACAACCGGAUGAGGAAAAAAAACAAAAAGAACAACCCCCAACUUCUCUUCUUUGCAAACCGGGUAUCACACUCUACCCCUCUUAAAAAGAAUUCGACCUCGAAUUCUGACGCUUCUAUCGGAAUGAAAAAAGAAAAUAUUAAUGAAUCAACAACACUUACCCACAACGAAAAGUUCUGGGUACAUCUGCCGCAUCAGCUCCUCAAGUUCCCACGUAGCCUCACGCUCAGACUGAUUAGUCCAUAAGACCUUGACAUACUUAAUUGAUCUCUUCCUCAACACACGCUCCGAGAAUUCCAAUAUACGCAUCGGACGACACUCUAGAGUCAGAUCCUGCUACACCGCAAUUGGUUCCAUCUCAAUCUGAUGGUCCGGAUCCCGCAAGAACUUCCUCAACAUAGAGACAUGAAAAACCGGGUGUACCCCCGCCAUGGAAUCCGGCAGUAGCAAGCGAUAAGCCAGGCUGCCCACUCGAGCCAAGAUAGUGAACGGUCCAAUGUAUCUCGGGCUGAGCUUCCCAGAGACACCGAACCGAACAACUCCCUUAGUGGGUGAUACCCUGAGAAGGACUUGGUCACCCACAGCAAAUUCUAGAUCCCGCCUCCUCACAUCAGCAUAACACUUCUGACGACUCUGAGCUGCCACAAUAUUCUGACGAAUUUCCCGAACCUUUUCAGAAGUUUGCUGAACCCAAUCAGGACCAACCAGGGAUCUCUCUCCCAAAGUCUCCCAGCACAGAGGAGAGAUACACCGCCUGCCAUACAAAGCCUCAAAUGGUGCCAUCUUGAUGCUAGCCUGGUAGCUGUUGUUAUAAGCAAACUCUGCCAGAGCAAGAUGAUCCUCCCAGCUACCCUUCCAUGACAGAACACAAGCACGCAACAUGUCUUCCAAGGUUUAGAUUGUUCGCUCUGACUGACCAUCCGUCUGAGGGUGAAAAGCGACACUAAGCGAAAGCUUGGUGCCCAAAGCACUAUGGAGACCCUCCCAGAAUUUGGAUACAAAUUUGGAGUCUCGAUCAGAAACAAUAGACUUAGGUACCCCGUGAAGCCUGACUACUUCCUUCAUAUACAAGGGAACCAAAUCUGAAGCUGAAUUUGUGGUCUUCAUGGGAAUAAAAUGCGCAGACUUAGUCAAGCGAUCCACUACCACCCAAAUAGCAUCCCUGCCAUGAGGGGAACGAGGUAGACCCACCACAAAAUCCAUGGUGAUAUGCUCCCAUUUCCACUCCGGAAUUUCUAAUGGCUUCAGCAAACCUGCAGGCCGCUUAUGCUCGGCCUUCACGCGCUGACAUACUUCACAGGCGGCCACAUACUUAGAAACGUCAACCUUCAUCCGCUUCCACCAGAAGUUUUGCUUCAAAUCUCGGUACAUUUUGGUUUCGCCAGGAUGGACGGUGUAAGGCGUUUUAUGAGCUUCUCUCAAGAUAUCCAUUUUCACCUCUGAUUUCUGAGGCACACAGAGGCGGCCCCUGAAACGAACCAAAUCAUUCUCAUCAAUGGUGAACUCCCGCGGUUUACCAUCACCCACCCUCUUUCGAGCUUCCUGCAAUAGACGAUCCUGCUGCUGAGCCGCACGCACUCUCUCCAUGAGAGAGGAUUGAAUAAGCAUCUAAGUCUCCUUGCUAGCAGUGCCGACAUAACACAAAGCGAUCCCCAAACGGUCCAGAUCAGCGAUCAACGGCAAGGCCACCUUUGGAACCCCGGACCUGCUAAGGGCAUCAGUCACCACAUUAGCCUUCCCCGGGUGAUAAUGAAUGGACAAAUCAUAAUCUUUAAUCAAUUCCAGCCACCGUCGCUGCCUCAAAUUCAGCUCCUUUUGAGUAAAAAUAUACUUGAGACUUUUGUGAUCGGUGAAAAUGUCACAAGCCUCGCCAUAAAGGUAAUGCCUCCACGACUUUAGAGCAAAAACCACCGCGGCCAAUUCCAGAUCAUGAGUUGGAUAAUUCCCCUCAUGCUUCCUCAACUGCCUUGAGCCAUAAGCAAUCACUCUGCCUUCCUGCAUCAGCACACAGCCAAGACCAAUACGCGAAGCAUCCGUAUAAACUGUGAAACGCUUACCUCUCUCAGGCAAAGCUAGGAUAGGGGCGUCCACCAACUUGCUCUUCAAUGACUGAUAACUGACCUCACAUUCGCCGGACCAGACGAAGGGAACACCCUUCUCCAAGAGCCUAGUCAAAGGCUUAGCAAUGCUGGAAAAAUUUGGUACGAAGUGCCGAUAAUACCCAGCAAGCCCCAAGAAACUUCGGAUUUCAGAGACACUAGAAGGUCUCUUCCACUCCACCACAGCCGCAACAUUCUUGGGAUCAACCGCAAUACCAUGCUGAUUAAUCACGUGCCCCAGGAAAGCCACUUCGGAAAGCCAAAAGGCACACUUCUUCAACUUGCCAUAGAAUUGAUUCUUCCUUAGGGCACCCAGAACGAGACGGAGAUGCUGUUCAUGCUCGACCUCGGUCUUUGAAUAAAUCAAAAUAUCAUCCAGGAAUACGACCACAAAAUCGUCCAGGAAUUCAUGUAGCAUCCUAUUCAUCGCUUCCAUAAAGGCAGCAGGGGCAUUAGUUAAGCCAAAAGACAUGACUAUGAACUCAUAAUGCCCAUACUUGGUGCAAAAGGCGGUCUUCUCAAUAUCCUCCUCACGAAUCCUCAAUUGAUGAUAACCGGAGUUCAAAUCAAUUUUGGAGAACACCUGGGCACCCCUCAACUGCUCAAAGAGGACCUCAAUUUGGGGAAGCGGAUAUUUAUUCUUGAUUGUCACUUGAUUCAAAGCGCGAUAAUCCACACACAGCCGCUUGCUUUUAUCCUUCUUCUCAACAAACAAUACCGGGGAAGCCCAUGUGGACCUGCUAGGCCUAAUGAAGCCCUUAGCCAGCAGAUCAUCCAAUUGCCGCUUUAAUUCAAUCUGCUCCUUUGGAGCCAUUCGAUAUGGGGCCUUAUGAAUAGGCUGCGUACCCGGGAUCAGCUUAAUCUCAAAAGCUGCAUCGCGCUCCGGAGGAAUGCCUGGAAGCUCUGCCGGAAACACGUCAGCAAAGUCACACACCACCCGGAUGUCCUGCACCCGCAAGGCAGCCUAACCCUCCACCACCAUAGAGAAAAAGAUCCCCGACUUCCUUGACCGGCGAUCAGGAAGCAAUUGCGCCAACAAGGAUAAUGUGAACUUCGGGGAACUUCCCAAGAAUACCACCUCCUUACCCGACGGCGCAUGCAAUAACACUGUCUUCCAGAAGCAGGAUAUAACCACGCGAUACUGCGAUAACCAAUCCAUACCCAAGAUAACAUCGAAUGCCCCCAAGGAAAUCACCAACAGAUUGGCCGAAAAAACCUCAUCAGCAAGAAUGACGGAACACCCCUGACAAACUGAACAGCUACUAAUGGAGCCAUUAGCAGAACUAACCAAAAUUGGGUGACCCAACCUCUGCACCGAAAGACCAGCCCGCGACACAAAAUCCUCCGAAAGAAACGAAUAGCUAGCGCCAGAGUCAAAAAGAGCAUGGGCUGCAAAUGAAUCAACUGAAAUCGUACCUGUCACCACGUCUCCUUGCUCCCUGCCAUCCAUAGCGGGUAGCACAUAAGCUCCAGAAAUACCCGCAGAAGAGGAAGCUCCCGGAGUGAAAUUAACAGAAGAACCCCACUGAGCCACCGGGGGAGGCUGGCGCGGAGCUCCAAACUGAGUCAGCACAGGGGUAGAUGGUGCAGGAGUAGGCGCGACCUGAUACUGAGGGACACCCUGCAUCGGCACGAACUGAGAAGUCCCAGACACAUAAAGCUGCUGUGGAGGAAGAGGAACUGAAAAUUGCUGCUCAACACUUGACAUCAUGUUGAUAGUGCCCUGAGAAGAGGAGGAAGUCACCGGCUCCCAUCUGAGCUUCCCAUUGGGAUUCCUCCUACACACCACAUCCUUGUGGUCCUGACUGCAGAUCGAACACCUGCCACUCCACUGGCACUCUGCACGGCGAUGCGCAUCUCCACAGCGGAAACACACCAGCCCCAGCCCGGGCUUAGGAACUGCCCGAAACCUCUGAGUACUUCCUCCCGAAGUACCCGAGUCAGAAGAUUUGCCACGGUAAGGAUGGUGGCGCUGAUGCUGAGACUUGCCCCUCUUGUGAGCUGGACCUCCAGUGUUGCCCCUCCUCGUGUCCUGGCUACGAGGCUGAUCAACACCCGAAGACUUCUGCGACUCUAUGGUAUACUGGUGUUGCAUCUCCACACCCAGCGCCUGCUCCACUGUGGUACGGAAGUCCACCAACGGAAAGGCCCCCAGUGCAUGCCUGAUAGAAGGCUUUAGACCCUGACGGAAUUGGCUCGCCUUCUCCAUCUCAUUAUAAGCCACAUGAGGGACAAAGCGGACCAUCUUGUUGAAGCCCACCUCAUACUCUGUGACAGACUUCUUCUCCUGCUUAUAGGACUGCAAGUCAAUCUUCAUUUUCUCCAGAAAGGUGACCGAGUAGAAUCUCCUUUCGAACUGCCUGAUGAAAACAUCCCAUGAUAGGACUCCUGGUGAGGAGGAGUGCGCUGCCUGCACGCCUCUCCACCAAAUUUGCGCCUCUCCCUUCAGCAGCUGAGUGCCAAAGCGAACCCGAUCUCCAUAUGCAAUCUCGAAGACAUUCAUCUUAUCCUCCACAUAAGUCAACCAAUCUGCCGCCUCGACCGGAGUACCACUGCCAUCAAAAGAAUCCAACUUCAUGCCCAUCCACUGCAUCAGAGAAAGACCACUGACUGGAAGAGGCACCUCGGCCCCGCCACCUGGAACAGCACCCGCAGGGACAGCGCCCCCGGGCACUUCUCCACCUCCAGCACCCUGAGUAGCUCCCGCAGGGGCGACAGGAAUGGCUUGCCUCAGAAGGGCCAACUCCUGCUGCAUGGCCUGCAUCGCGGCUAACAUUGCUGCCGGACUCAUCGAGUCCCCACUAGGAGCUUGCAGACUACCCCGAGCUCUACGAGGCGGCAUAGCUGCAGCCACAGGGAUGAGUACAAUAAGUAAAUGAGAUAAGCAUAGCAUCUCUUCAGAUAAUGUCAAAGCUAGCACAGACCAUAACAUAAUCAUAUCAAUAGCAAGACAGAAAUCCCAUCCUACAUGUGCAGUGUGUCAAUUUAUUACUACUCCACUUGCUAGGACCUACAGCCUAUUGCUCUGAUACCAACUGUAACACCCCACUGGUCACAUACAAUGGAUAAUAUCACAAACCCCACCCACCAAACUUACUCAACACAAGAGAAGUGAACAUCUUCAUCUCCCUCGUCAUGUGGUUUGUGCAUCCGCUGUCGAUAAUCCAGCUUGAGCCCCUGGAUGCACAAACCUGCAAGACAAUUUACGCUUGGGUUUUAGGUACCCAACUCUUGUUGGGUCCUACAAGGUUAGUUACAAUAGCUUUUGGUACCCAAAUGCAAGCCUUGUCUCCUUUGCAUUUGGGUCCCAAUUUUUUAGCAACCAAUUUUUCAUUUUUACAUGAAAGUACAAACUUAGUGUUGCAAGCAUGAAAGACAGUAGUAGGUUUAUUACACAUUUUCCUAGGAGCAUGAGACACAAAAUUUCUAUUAGGCCUACCAUUAAAAUUGGAACCUGAAGUGAACAUAGCAUGUGAAUCAUAAGCAUCAUAAUCAUAUCUCCUAUUAUCAGUAGCAAUUUUCCUAUUAUACAUGAAAGCAUGAUUCUUUUGACCACUACUAGCCAUAGGGGCCUUCCCUUUUUCUCUUUGUUGGAAAUGGGAGCCCUUUGGCUUGUUAAGUUCUUGGCUUCCUUUCGAAAGCCAAGUCCAUCCUUAAUUAAGGGGUGUGUACCAAUAGUGUAGGCAUCCCUAGCAAAUUUUAGCUUAUCAAAAUCAACCUUACAAGUCUUAAGUUGAGCAUUAAGACUUUCCACCUCAUCAUUUAAUUUAGCAAUAGAAGCAUGAUGUUCAUCACAAGCAUUGAUAUCAAAAUCCUUACAUCUAUUGCAAAUUACAACAUGUUCUACACAUGAACUUGGUUUAUUAGCUACCUCUAGAUUAGCACUUAAUCAUCAUUCAAAGUCUUUAAACUAGAGAUAGAUUCAUUGCAAGUGGAUAACUCAGAAGAUAGUAAUUCAUUUCUCUUAAUCUCUAAGGCAAGAGACUUUUGAACACUAACAAAUUUGUCAUGUUCCUCAUACAAAAUGUCCUCUUGCCUCUCUAGCAGUCUAUCCUUUUCAUUUAAAGCAUCAAUCAAUUCAUUGAUCUUUUCUACCUUUGCUCUAUCUAAGCCUUUGAAUAAGCUAGAAUAAUCUACUUCAUCAUCACUAGAAUCAUCAUCGCUUGAAGUAGUAUACUUAGGGGUUUCUCGAACGCUUACCUUUUUCUCCUUUGCCAUGAGGCAAGUGUGGCGUUCGUUGGGGAAGUGUAACGCCCUGAAUUUGGGGGUAGAAUUUUUUCUUCUUUUCACUCACCAAAUUCGGGCGUUACUCUCUUUUCUCUUCCCGUUUCGCUCCUUCUUCCCAAUUUCAAACCAGUAUAGUGACAGGUGUCCGUGUCAUGUAUAAACAAAACUUAAGUGUCAUGGGUGUUGCAUCAUGCCGAAGCACAUUUCUUUGUCUGAUGUCGCGUGUUCGUCUUGUUCCGUUUCGGAUUUCGGUUCGCGAUUGGAUUCCGUUUAAUGGUCGUGCGUGUCGUGGGUUUCGAUCCGCGGUGUGGCCCAGCCCAGCCCGAUCCGGCUCAGUCCGGCCCGCGCGCCCCUGCUGUAACACCCCACUGGUCACAUACAAUGGAUAAUACCACAAACCCCACCCACCAAACUUACUCAACACAAGAGAAGUAAUAAAGAAAGAAUAUAUAGCAAAAUCCGGCAGCACCUCCUUUGAAAACUAGCAUAACAAGGAGGGGAAACAUGAAGCUCAUACAAGAUAUAAAGACAUAUAAUUCACAUAGUAGAAACUGAAAUGCAAAAGUGGUAAAACUUAAUUAUGACCCAACUGAAGCAAAACAAAUGGGAUAAGAAACUCAGCCCACCCCAAAAUAAACGCUCAACCAAGAACAAAGCAAUUCACUAGACUUGUCCAACUCUGAUUAACAACAUUAUUAAAUGGUGGUUCCUUUAUUAAAGGUGUAGUGGCCGUGCUGCUACAUCCCUCUAUUCCCAAAGCAGAAAUUAGGUGCCUGCAUCAAACAAUGCAAGAUGUGAGAUAACACAUCUCAGCAAGUAAACAUAACAACAACAAAUAGGACAUUGUAAAUCAACUGUGCUUACACAACCACGUGUUCAGGACUUCUUUCUUUUCUUUUGAACAGUAAAUUGCAGCAAGUAAACAAGUAACUAAAAGAUCAACGUCAAGUAGAAUCACCAUGCACAAGUCCAAAUUAUCCACAUCCACAUAAUAGAUUCAACACCUCUCCCAUGAAUGCACAUGGCUACAAAUGCAAUAAUGACUUCUGCCUCCAUAUCUCUAAGGAUAUGAAGCUGCACCAUACCCCUUCUCGGGCAACAUAUGAUGCUCAAUGUACCGGUACGGUCGGACCAUAAGAUCGCGACGAAACUUCAAUGCAAUGGAUGAUGAGUGCAUUAUGCAUGACAACAUCAUAAGUUCUUCCCAAAUAAAAAUGUGCUAGGCAUUUACUUCCAACCAUUCCACAUAAUAACCACUUGAGUAACAUAAUCAAACCUCAAACUCAACAUAUGAAAUCCAUGAAACAUGAACAUUUUCAAAUGAUGGUACUCAAAAGAAAAUAUGAAUUUGAACAUGAUAGCACAACAUAAACAAGUAUAAGACUCCUCAUCUGACAGACGGAAUAACCAUCACUGUUUUACUUAACUUCACCGAAGUUUGGGCAAAAUCCCUAAGAACGAUCCGGAAGUCCACCACCUGUUUUUGACACCCAACUUAGUGCACCAAAUUCACAUAAAAAAAACUCAAAGACAACACCGCACCUACGCGCAAUCUCAACCCCGCCGCGGUAACAAUUCUCCCCUCACUAACCAAACUGCAGCGGCGCUGCUUAACAAUUCCAUAACUUAAAAAUUAGGACAGCAGUGGUGUCAAACAAAAACUUCAGAGACAACUACAUAAAAUUUCCCACAAGUUUUGUAUACGACUCAUGAUUAAAUUCUAACAUCUAAUUACCUCUAAACGGUCCACAAAAAUAAACCCUGCAAUCUGUUUUUUUCUGAUUUGGGCAGCGACAUACUCGGAUUCAAACAGCGAUAACUUUUAAAAUAUAAUUCCGAUUUGAGCGCAUAAGUACUUGUUGGAAAGAUAAGAAAAAGCCCUACAUGAGUCUCAUACUGAUUAACACUAAUUACUCCCGAAAAAUCCCCAGAAACUGCUAAUACUGCUGCUGUUCAUCACUCUGAAAAAUCUGUUUUUUUGGACAGCCACACACCCGGAUUCAAAUGAUGAUAACUAUUAAUUUAUAACUCCAAAUUGAGCGCAUAAAUACUCGUUGGAAAGGUAAAACAAUGUUCUACAAGAUCCCCAAAUUGAUCCCCAUUAAUUCUUCACGAAAAAACCCUAAAAACUGCUAGAACUUCCGCUGUUCAUCCACCACGUAAAAUUCUGGACAGCCCCCCUCUAUCUAAUCGCAAACGCAACAUCUAAUCAAUUGAAUCGCAGCGCAAAUGAACAAGGGAUGAACACAAAAAUCACCUUGGGUUCUCCCCCUUUCCUUCCUCCCUUCUUCCCUCCACCAAAACGGUUGGAGAAUCGCACCACGAGUCGACGAUCCGAGCGGCAAGGAUUGGCACCUUGGGAGGAGGGGAUUGAGGGGGGGGCGGCUAGGGUUUGGUGGCUGCAAAAAUUGAGAGAGGAGGUGAUGGGCAGGGGGGGGCGGCGGCCAAGGGGAGGAGGAGAAGUGGGG
Molecule: long non-coding RNA, 11026 nt
Filed under: Zea mays
Lineage: Eukaryota; Viridiplantae; Streptophyta; Magnoliopsida; Poales; Poaceae
Description: long non-coding RNA (ZMAY_LNC000321)
Source: RNAcentral